AGAGUUUGAUCAUGGCUCAGAGCGAACGUUAGCGGCGGGCCUAACACAUGCAAGUCGAGCGAGAAAGUGGCUUCGGCCAUCAGUAAAGCGGCGGACGGGUGAGUAACACGUAAGUAAUCUUCCCUUGAGCGGGGGACAACGUUUCGAAAGGAACGCUAAUACCGCAUACGUUUCCAGGGGCUCCGGCCCCUGGAAGGAAAGCUAGGUCGCAAGAUCCGGCACUCGAGGAGGAGCCUGCGUCGCAUCAGCUAGUUGGUGGGGUAACGGCCUACCAAGGCGAAGACGCGUAGCUGGUCUGAGAGGAUGAUCAGCCACACUGGGACUGAGACACGGCCCAGACUCCUACGGGAGGCAGCAGUGGGGAAUAUUGGACAAUGGGCGCAAGCCUGAUCCAGCCACGCCGCGUGAGUGAUGAAGGCCUUCGGGUCGUAAAGCUCUGUGGGGAGGGACGAACCGCUGCUGGUGCAUAUCCAGCAGCAUGACGGUACCUCCUUAGCAAGCACCGGCUAACUUCGUGCCAGCCGCCGCGGUAAUAC
This 536-nucleotide ribosomal RNA is filed under the name uncultured bacterium. Its description in RNAcentral is "bacterial SSU rRNA". It matches the Rfam family "Bacterial small subunit ribosomal RNA", at positions 8 to 526 of the family's 1533-position model. The record is from RNAcentral.